RNAcentral lists this ribosomal RNA (232 nucleotides) under Staphylococcus sp. SKL70935. Its description in RNAcentral is "partial 23S ribosomal RNA". It matches the Rfam family "Bacterial large subunit ribosomal RNA", at positions 1 to 227 of the family's 2925-position model. The record is from RNAcentral. Lineage: Bacteria; Bacillati; Bacillota; Bacilli; Caryophanales; Staphylococcaceae.
AUAGAUUAAGUUAUUAAGGGCGCACGGUGGAUGCCUUGGCACUAGAAGCCGAAGAAGGACGUUACUAACGACGAUAUGCUUUGGGUAGCUGUAAGUAAGCGUUGAUCCAGAGAUUUCCGAAUGGGGGAACCCAACAUGAGUUAUGUCAUGUUAUCGACAUGUGAAUUCAUAGCAUGUCAGAAGGCAGACCCGGAGAACUGAAACAUCUUAGUACCCGGAGGAAGAGAAAGAA